UCACAUUCAACAAACAUUUAUUAACACGUAAAUGGAUAAGGCUUGGCUCCCUGUUCUCAGAAUGCUCAGUGCAGAGGGGCAGACAAUCACAAAGUUACAGCAGAAUCACAGUAGAAUAAGUACUAUCACUGAGGUACAGACAAAGUACUUUGGAGGCACAGUGAAGAUAUAGGGGUGAGAGAGGAGCAAUUUUCCAAUUUAUACCUGCCUAGAGCAUUCAGGGAAGGCUCCAGAGAAGUCAUCUGUGAGUUGAGCCUUGAAGGAGGAGUAGAAACCACCAGGUGAAGAGUCAAGGAAGGAGACCUACAGGCUAGGGCUCAGAGAUGUAUGUAGCUAAGGUCAGGCAAGCGAGAGGUUCAGGGAACCAGGCAUGAAUGAUGGAAUAAGGAAAAAAAAGAGUAAGGAAUGAGCAGGACUGUGGAGCACAAACCUCCAGCUCUACUGUAGAAAUUUAAAGGUCUUAUUUCCCCAUGGAGAGGGGAGGAUAGAGGAGGGUGGGAGGUCCCCAGUAAUGGGUCCCUGCCACUUCCUCAGUCAGGCCAUGGGGUUUAAACACCAAAGCCAGAGCUUCAUGGUUGUGAUCUAAUAUCUCUAGGCCACUAAAUUGUCAAGAGCCCUUUUUGGAAGCAAAGAACUUAUAUGAGCAAUGCAGGCCUAAAUGGAAGAAGGUCCCUAGUAUUUUCAUCUUUCUCAUAUGCAGUUGAUCAUGACUAAGAAAUAGCUCUACUUCCUUGAGGAAAUCAAACGAGGUAUGGAACUUGAGAGGGGAAGGUGCACUAGAGUGCAGGCCUUGCAGCAAUCUCACAAUCGAAUGGUAAAAUGAUGGCUACAGUCUCUUUUUUUUUUUCAAAUUCAAAUUACAUAUUAACAUAAAACUUAAAUAUAUAUUCACAAACCCCUUAAACCCAUUUGUCUUGUUAUUCCUGUCUCCUCCAUUUACUUCUUUCAUAUCCCUAUGUAUUUUAAUACGCUUAAAUUAAAAAACAAAACAUUUAAGCUUUUUAAUUUAAAUAAUUUUUUCUUUUUGAAUACUUUUAAUUCUUUUCAUUCUUUGAUUUUUAUUUAAAUAUUUUUGUAAAGGUUUAAAAUUUUUU
Equus caballus (horse) is the source of this 1094-nucleotide long non-coding RNA. The record is from Ensembl. Lineage: Eukaryota; Metazoa; Chordata; Mammalia; Perissodactyla; Equidae.